CGUACAGAACCUUCCUUUAAGCGGGGGAUAGCCCAUAGAAAUGUGGAUUAAUACCCCAUAGUAAUGUUGACUGGCAUCAGUUGAUAUUUAAAGAUUUAUCACUUAAAGAUGGCUGUGCGGCUGAUUAGGUAGUUGGUGUGGGUAACGGCCCACCAAGCCAGCGAUCAGUAACUGGUGUGAGAGCACGACCAGUCACACGGGCACUGAGACACGGGCCCG
Molecule: ribosomal RNA, 219 nt
Filed under: uncultured bacterium
Lineage: Bacteria
Description: partial 16S ribosomal RNA
Rfam family: Bacterial small subunit ribosomal RNA
Source: RNAcentral